UACGUAGGGUGCGAGCGUUAAUCGGAAUUACUGGGCGUAAAGCGUGCGCAGGCGGUUUUGUAAGCCAGAUGUGAAAUCCCCGGGCUUAACCUGGGAAUGGCAUUUGGGACUGCAAGGCUGGAGUUUGGCAGAGGAGACUGGAAUUCCUGGUGUAGCAGUGAAAUGCGUAGAUAUCUGGAGGAAUACCGGUGGCGAAGGCGGCAUCCUGGACCGGCAUUGACGCUGAGGAGCGAAAGCUAGGGGAGCAAACGGG
RNAcentral lists this ribosomal RNA (253 nucleotides) under uncultured bacterium. RNAcentral describes it as "partial 16S ribosomal RNA". It matches the Rfam family "Bacterial small subunit ribosomal RNA", at positions 524 to 776 of the family's 1533-position model. The record is from RNAcentral.